GUUCUUUUUCAGAUAACGACCUGUUUAUGUAUUAAAAGCAUUGGAACGUAUCCAGUUACUGAUACCACUUUCUGUAUAUCGCCGUGUCGCACGGACUCGGUUUUCUGUUCAUCAGGAUUUGGAGUUCCGUUGUUUAAAUAUAAGCCAGAGGUAAUUUCAAGACGAAGUAUGUUUUAUUACUCAUACCAUUGUGUGGCUACAAAACAUGGCUACAACUACGAUGAUAACUGCUACACUGGAUUUCAUGGCUUCAACUGUAAUGGAAUAGAAAAUAUUGGUCUGCACACAAAUUGGAUUAACGCUGUCAAUAACUGUACAAAUUGUAAAACAACUGCCAAAUGCAGUCAGAAACUCAUCGGCCGGUCUUUGGCUACGAUAUUUCAGAUAUCAAAUAUUACAUCAAGCUACAAACAAGGAAAGAAGGAAAUGUAUUGCAAUUUUCGUAAAGAAUAACCAGGAGUUUAACAGUGACUAUAUACAAUGGAGCCAUUACCAAGAAAAGAAUUGUUCAGAAUUGCUCCCAUUUAUUUGUUUGGGUGGUCACAAAACUGCUUUAUUUCCAAACUCAACUGUAAAAGAAAAUUCAACCUCACAGUUUUCAUCAAGAUUUAAAGAAACUAACAAAAAU
Mytilus californianus (California mussel) is the source of this 628-nucleotide long non-coding RNA. RefSeq lists it as uncharacterized. The record is from RefSeq and is a predicted model, not a curated record. NCBI's taxonomy places the organism in Eukaryota, Metazoa, Mollusca, Bivalvia, Mytilida, Mytilidae. The transcript is spliced from 5 exons.